Molecule: long non-coding RNA, 834 nt
Organism: Vigna umbellata (rice bean)
Lineage: Eukaryota; Viridiplantae; Streptophyta; Magnoliopsida; Fabales; Fabaceae
Source: RefSeq, a predicted model, not a curated record
AUGUUGGGCUAUAUAAAGGUAACUUAAAACCCUAAAAGCUCACGCCUCAUUCCCUCGCUUCCCUCGCUUCUCUCUCUUUCCUUUUUCACUCUCAUAUUUUGGUUGGAAGCCUAAAAACCGAAAGCUCCUAUGUAAGACGGUAAGAAGAGAUCCAACAAAUGCAUGCAUCAAAAAUCAAUGGCGGCGGCUAAUCAAAUAAACUAUUUUAUCUUUCACAGCAAAAACAUUACAGGAAGCUCCUUUCUCAGCCGACAUAUAAUGAAUGAAACAUCAUUGUGGAGGAAGGAGAGGAAGAAAACAAGAGGUUUUGCAUUUUGAAUUUUGGAUGGAGUGCAAUAAAGAAGAGGCCGUAAGGGCCAAGAAAAUUGCUGAAAAGAGAAUGCAAAACAAAGAUUUCAACGCUUAAGGCUCAGCAGCUAUAUCCUGAUUUAUAGAAUAUUAAUCAAAUGUUUAUUGUCUAUGAUGUGCAUUGCUGCGUUUAUCAGAAAUUCUUUGGCAAUGAGAUGGACUGCUAUAAAAUUCUUCAAAUUGAGCUGACGGCUGAUUGGGAUUCUUCCUACAGAACAGAAACUCAUGACAGAAUUCCAAUGCCAAGUGAUUUAUUGGAAACGAAAAAAAAAAACAUAAUGAAAAGUUUGUUUAAUCUAAUUCCCUUCCUUCUGAAUAAACUAGUUCUUUCUUUGUUAGCUUUUUAUUUUCAGACAAUUUCUCAGAUUUCUGAAUAAACUUGGUUGAGCCAGCUAUCUUAAACUUGUAAUAGCACAAUUUACCUAAUUCAGCAUCUCAAUGGUACAUUAAUGUGUUCAUGUUGUUAGCCUUUGGUGAGGAAAGUAA